Molecule: long non-coding RNA, 849 nt
Filed under: Numida meleagris (helmeted guineafowl)
Lineage: Eukaryota; Metazoa; Chordata; Aves; Galliformes; Numididae
Description: lncRNA (ENSNMEG00000023069.1)
Source: RNAcentral
UCAUUUUCAACAAUGGAAACUUUCACAAGGAGUACACCCACAAGAGAGCAAGAAGGAAGGAGAAUGAUCUUAAUGUGCCUAUUUCAAGGGGGAAAAAAAAGAACUGAGUAUUGAUCCUUGGAAAAUGAUCAACAAUUAAAAUAAAAUAUAGACAGCUACAAUCCCAGUGGUCGCAUUGAAGAAGGAAAUGCUUCAUUCACACCUCAUAAGAGCGUUCAGAACAUGAGUGGAGGGCAGAUUUCUUCCUUCAUCAGUGGUUACGAGGCAUCAUAGAAAUACUUUCAUAAACAAAGAAAUUCAGUACAUCCGCCACAGCCUACAAAAGACGCCGCUGUGAUCCUGGAAAUGCUGGGAUUCCCAGGAACACCUGCAGCAAAGCAGAGUUUGGCCAUUCAUCCUUCAAGGACACUGAACGUGCUGCUACCUCAACCUUCGUGCAUCAGUUUUCCCUACGAUGAGGAGAAAAAACCCACUCUUUUGAAAUGCGAGUCAUUUGUAAUGUUACGUGCAGAAGAUUCUGGUGUCGUGAUCUUUCACUUUUGCCCUGCAUCUAAUACUGAGGAUCAUUCAGCCAUGAUGAAACCAGCUGGAGGAAACUCUCUCCUGCAAGACAUGAAGGCCAAUGAUGGUAUGAAAGAUAUGGGGCUGCUUUGUCAUUUGUUGCUCCAUAUUCCAUAUGUUUGUCUGAUUGGUGUAGGGCAAGGUCUAUUUAUUAAGACGACAGCUUGUGUGAAUUGCAGGCAGCUGACAGCAAAAAAUGAAAGCACCCAGGAAGGCAAUGCAGUGACUGAGCAGAACAGCCUUAAGGGAACUUUUGGGGAUGCUGCGAAAACCCAACGAGGACAAUAG